UAGGGAAUCUUCGGCAAUGGGGGGAACCCUGACCGAGCAACGCCGCGUGAGUGAAGAAGGUUUUCGGAUCGUAAAGCUCUGUUGUUAAGGAAGAACGAGUGUGAGAAUGGAAAGUUCAUACUGUGACGGUACUUAACCAGAAAGGGACGGCUAACUACGUGCCAGCAGCCGCGGUAAUACGUAGGUCCCGAGCGUUGUCCGGAUUUAUUGGGCGUAAAGCGAGCGCAGGCGGUUAGAUAAGUCUGAAGUUAAAGGCAGUGGCUCAACCAUUGUAGGCUUUGGAAACUGUUUAACUUGAGGGCAGAAGGGGGAAGUGGAAUUCCAUGUGGAGCGGGGAAAUGCGUAGAUAUAUGGAGGAACACCGGUGGCGAAAGCGGCUCUCUGGUCUGUAACUGACGCCGAGGCUCGAAAGCGUGGGGAGCGAACAGG
Molecule: ribosomal RNA, 429 nt
Filed under: Bacteroidota bacterium
Lineage: Bacteria; Pseudomonadati; Bacteroidota
Description: Bacteroidetes bacterium partial 16S ribosomal RNA
Rfam family: Bacterial small subunit ribosomal RNA
Source: RNAcentral